Molecule: ribosomal RNA, 253 nt
Filed under: uncultured bacterium
Lineage: Bacteria
Description: partial 16S ribosomal RNA
Rfam family: Bacterial small subunit ribosomal RNA
Source: RNAcentral
GACGUAGGGUGCGAGCGUUGUCCGGAUUUAUUGGGCGUAAAGAGCUCGUAGGCGGCUCGUCGCGUCAGCUGUGAAAACCCGCAGCUUAACUGCGGGCUUGCAGCUGAUACGGGCGGGCUAGAGUUCGGUAGGGGAGACUGGAAUUCCUGGUGUAGCGGUGAAAUGCGCAGAUAUCAGGAGGAACACCGGUGGCGAAGGCGGGUCUCUGGGCCGAUACUGACGCUGAGGAGCGAAAGCGUGGGGAGCAAACAGG